This 305-nucleotide ribosomal RNA is filed under the name uncultured bacterium. Its description in RNAcentral is "bacterial SSU rRNA". It matches the Rfam family "Bacterial small subunit ribosomal RNA", at positions 338 to 657 of the family's 1533-position model. The record is from RNAcentral.
CCUACGGGGCGCAGCAGUGGGGAAUAUUGCGCAAUGGGGGCAACCCUGACGCAGCAACGCCGCGUGCAGGAAGAAGGUCUUCGGAUUGUAAACUGUUGUCGCAGGGGAAGAAGACAGUGACGGUACCCUGUGAGAAAGUCACGGCUAACUACGUGCCAGCAGCCGCGGUAAUACGUAGGUGACAAGCGUUGUCCGGAUUUACUGGGUGUAAAGGGAGCGUAGGCGGGAAGCCAAGUCAGCUGUGAAAACUACGGGCUUAACCUGUAGACUGCAGUUGAAACUGGCUUUCUUGAGUGAAGUAGAGG